AACACUGUUAACCUGCGGUACCUGCGGAAGGAUCAUUAUAGUAUAUGGAAUCUCCAUUCUAUAAACCCACUCUGCGUAUCUUGUAACUGUUGCUUCCAUGGGACUUGGUUCCGCCACACCGGCUUCACGGCUGGUGGGCGCCCAUGGAAGGAGAAACAAAACUCUUCUUUGAAAUGUAGUCAGUCUGAACAAGUUUUUAUAAACGUUAAAACUUUUAACAAUGGAUCUCAGAUCGGAAGA
RNAcentral lists this unclassified non-coding RNA (240 nucleotides) under soil metagenome. RNAcentral describes it as "partial contains 5.8S ribosomal RNA, internal transcribed spacer 2, and large subunit ribosomal RNA". The record is from RNAcentral.